GGCCCCGUAGCUCAGUCGGAUAGAGCGCAGGAUUCCUAAUCCUGAGGCCACGCGUUCGAAUCGCGUCGGGGUCACCA
RNAcentral lists this transfer RNA (77 nucleotides) under Devosia sp. RNAcentral describes it as "tRNA-Arg". It matches the Rfam family "tRNA". From Rfam's summary of the family: Transfer RNA (tRNA) molecules are approximately 80 nucleotides in length. Lineage: Bacteria; Pseudomonadati; Pseudomonadota; Alphaproteobacteria; Hyphomicrobiales; Devosiaceae. The record is from RNAcentral.